Molecule: transfer RNA, 86 nt
Rfam family: tRNA
About the family: Transfer RNA (tRNA) molecules are approximately 80 nucleotides in length. Their secondary structure includes four short double-helical elements and three loops (D, anti-codon, and T loops). Further hydrogen bonds mediate the characteristic L-shaped molecular structure. tRNAs have two regions of fundamental functional importance: the anti-codon, which is responsible for specific mRNA codon recognition, and the 3' end, to which the tRNAs corresponding amino acid is attached (by aminoacyl-tRNA synthetases). tRNAs cope with the degeneracy of the genetic code in two manners: having more than one tRNA (with a specific anti-codon) for a particular amino acid; and 'wobble' base-pairing, i.e. permitting non-standard base-pairing at the 3rd anti-codon position.
GCCCGGGUGGCGGAACUGGUAGACGCAGGGGACUUAAAAUCCCCCAGCCACGUGCUAUGUGGGUUCGAGUCCCACCCCGGGCACCA